Molecule: ribosomal RNA, 413 nt
Filed under: Gephyromantis plicifer
Lineage: Eukaryota; Metazoa; Chordata; Amphibia; Anura; Mantellidae
Description: partial large subunit ribosomal RNA
Rfam family: Bacterial large subunit ribosomal RNA
Source: RNAcentral
UGUCUCCUUUUUCUAAUCAGUGAAACUAAUCUCCCCGUGAAGAAGCGGGGAUAAACCUAUAAGACGAGAAGACCCCAUGGAGCUUUAAACCUAGCCACACCCUUAAUUUNCCUACCAUCUUAUUAANNNNNNCUCUGCCCGCUAAGUUUUAGGUUGGGGUGACCGCGGAGUAAAAUAAAACCUCCGCGAUGAACGAGACUAUCCUCUAAUCUAAGAAGCUCACUUCUAAGAAUUAGUACCCUAACAUAUGUGAUCCGGUAACCGAUCAACGGACCAAGUUACCCUGGGGAUAACAGCGCAAUCCACUUCAAGAGCUCCUAUUAACAAGUGGGUUUACGACCUCGAUGUUGGAUCAGGGUAUCCCGGCGGUGCAACAGCUGCUAACGGUUCGUUUGUUCAACGAUUAAAACCCU